This 189-nucleotide non-coding RNA is filed under the name Thermanaeromonas toyohensis. The record is from RNAcentral. Lineage: Bacteria; Bacillati; Bacillota; Clostridia; Neomoorellales; Neomoorellaceae.
CAAUAAGGAAGACGGGAUGGCUACCUCUAUAGGUAGCCGAGGGAAGUCAGUGAGAAUCUGACGCGGUCCCGCCACUGUGACAGGGAGCAGGCCCACAUCAAAAAGCCACUGGGCUUUAGGUUUAAGCCUGGGAAGGCGUGGGUAGCGAUGAACUGGAGCCAGGAGACCUGCCUGUCUUCUUUGUACCAU